This 606-nucleotide ribosomal RNA is filed under the name Leptographium piceaperdum. RNAcentral describes it as "eukaryotic LSU rRNA". It matches the Rfam family "Eukaryotic large subunit ribosomal RNA", at positions 1 to 626 of the family's 3401-position model. The record is from RNAcentral. Lineage: Eukaryota; Fungi; Ascomycota; Sordariomycetes; Ophiostomatales; Ophiostomataceae.
UUGACCUCGGAUCAGGUAGGACUACCCGCUGAACUUAAGCAUAUCAAUAAGCGGAGGAAAAGAAACCAACAGGGAUUGCCCCAGUAACGGCGAGUGAAGCGGCAACAGCUCAGAUUUGGAAUCUGGCCCCUAGGGCCCGAGUUGUAAUCUGGAGAGGAUGUUUCUGGCGCGGCGCCUUCCGAGUUCCCUGGAACGGGACGCCGGAGAGGGUGAGAGCCCCGUACGGUUGGACGCCUAGCCUUUGUGAAGCUCCUUCGACGAGUCGAGUAGUUUGGGAAUGCUGCUCAAAAUGGGAGGUAAAUUUCUUCUAAAGCUAAAUACCGGCCAGAGACCGAUAGCGCACAAGUAGAGUGAUCGAAAGAUGAAAAGCACUUUGAAAAGAGGGUCAAACAGUACGUGAAAUUGUUGAAAGGGAAGCGCCCGUGGCCAGACUUGUACCCCGCGGACCAUCCGGCGCCCUCAGCGCCGGUGCACUCCGUGGGGCGCAGGCCAGCAUCGGUUUUCCCAGGGGGAUAAAGGCGGCGGGAACGUGGCUCCCUCGGGAGUGUUAUAGCCCGCCGCGCCAUGCCCCUGGGGGGACCGAGGACCGCGCUUCGGCAAGGAUGC